This 442-nucleotide ribosomal RNA is filed under the name uncultured bacterium. RNAcentral describes it as "partial 16S ribosomal RNA". It matches the Rfam family "Bacterial small subunit ribosomal RNA", at positions 338 to 795 of the family's 1533-position model. The record is from RNAcentral.
CCUACGGGCGGCAGCAGUAGGGAAUCUUUCACAAUGGGCGAAAGCCUGAUGGAGCAACGCCGCGUGCAGGAUGAAGGCCUUCGGGUUGUAAACUGCUUUUAUAAGCGAGAAAUAUGAUGGUAACUUAUGAAUAAGGAACGGCGAACUACGUGCCAGCAGCCGCGGUCAUACGUAGGCUCCGAGCAUUAUCCGGAGUGACUGGGUGUAAAGAGUUGCGUAGGUGGCAUAAUAAGUAGCUAGUGAAAUCUGGUGGCUCAACCAUUCAGACUAUUAGCUAAACUGUUAAGCUCGAGACCGUUAGGGGUAACUGGAAGUUGUAGUGUAGGAGUGAAAUGCGUAGAUAUUAGAAAGAACACCGAGAGCGAAGGCAGGUUGCUGGGACGGUUCUGACACUGAGGCACGAAAGCGUAGGGAGCAAACGGGAUUAGAUACCCCUGUAGUC